This 494-nucleotide ribosomal RNA is filed under the name uncultured bacterium. RNAcentral's name for it is "partial 16S ribosomal RNA". It matches the Rfam family "Bacterial small subunit ribosomal RNA", at positions 28 to 507 of the family's 1533-position model. The record is from RNAcentral.
GACGAACGCUGGCGGCGUGCUUAACACAUGCAAGUCGAACGGUGAAGCGCCUUCCUUUUUGGUGGGUGUGGAUGAGUGGCGAACUGGUGAGUAACACGUGAGUAACCUGCCCCCUUCUUCUGGAUAACCGCAUGAAAGUGUGGCUAAUACGGGAUAUUCUGGGUCUGUCGCAUGAUGGGUCUGGGAAAGAUAUUGUUUCGGUGGGGGAUGGGCUCGCGGCCUAUCAGCUUGUUGGUGGGGUGGUGGCCUACCAAGGCGGUGACGGGUAGCCGGCCUGAGAGGGUGGACGGUCACACUGGGACUGAGACACGGCCCAGACUCCUACGGGAGGCAGCAGUGGGGAAUAUUGCACAAUGGGCGGAAGCCUGAUGCAGCGACGCCGCGUGAGGGAUGGAGGCCGUCGGGUUGUGAACCUCUUUCGCCAGUGAAGCAGGCCUGCCUCGUUUGUGGGUGGGUUGACGGUAGCUGGAUAAGAAGCGCCGGCUAACUACGUG